Non-coding RNA from Cinara cedri, 240 nucleotides. Lineage: Eukaryota; Metazoa; Arthropoda; Insecta; Hemiptera; Aphididae. The record is from the annotation of a GenBank genome assembly.
CAGUGUUUCCCAAAUUGGGGAUUGCCAAAAAUUUAAAAUAUCGGGUCACCCAUGUAUAAAAUUUAUAUUUAAGGGUUGCUCAAAAAUGUAAUAAUCAUUUAGGGGGUCGCAACGGUAAAGGUUGAGAAACUGUCAUAUAAUAUUGACUUAACUGUAUUUGAUUGGGUUUUUUUUUUUUUAAAUUAGAGGUUUUUUUGAUAAAUUACUUUUAAAACUGACCAAUUGAGAUUUUGGUUGCCC